Molecule: ribosomal RNA, 478 nt
Filed under: uncultured bacterium
Lineage: Bacteria
Description: partial 16S ribosomal RNA
Rfam family: Bacterial small subunit ribosomal RNA
Source: RNAcentral
GACGAACGCUGGCGGCGUGCUUAACACAUGCAAGUCGAACGUGAUUUUUGUGGAAAUUCUUUCGGGAAUGGAAAUGAAAUGAAGGUGGCGAACGGGUGAGUAACACGUGAGCAACCUACCUUACACAGGGGGAUAGCCGUUGGAAACGACGAUUAAUACCGCAUGAGACCACAGAAUCGCAUGAUAUAGGGGUCAAAGAUUUAUCGGUGUAAGAAGGGCUCGCGUCUGAUUAGCUAGUUGGAAGGGUAAAGGCCUACCAAGGCGACGAUCAGUAGCCGGUCUGAGAGGAUGAACGGCCACAUUGGAACUGAGACACGGUCCAAACUCCUACGGGAGGCAGCAGUGGGGAAUAUUGCACAAUGGGGGGAACCCUGAUGCAGCGACGCCGCGUGAGCGAAGAAGGUUUUCGAAUCGUAAAGCUCUGUCCUAUGAGAAGAUAAUGACGGUAGCAUAGGAGGAAGCCCCGGCUAAAUACGUG